This is a long non-coding RNA of Megalopta genalis, 464 nucleotides long. RefSeq lists it as uncharacterized. The record is from RefSeq and is a predicted model, not a curated record. NCBI's taxonomy places the organism in Eukaryota, Metazoa, Arthropoda, Insecta, Hymenoptera, Halictidae.
CCAACGGUUUUGAACAUGGAGCAGCAGGUUCUCCGAAAGUUGGAAUGCGGCAUAAACGUGGAAGCGCUUGCUAAUACGUACGGGAUCGCUAAAAGUACGGCGAACCGAAUAAGGCGCAUUGGCAUGAAUAGCUUGGACACCUGUGUAGACGUGCAUAAAAACAAAUAAUAUAUUGUGAAUAAUGGUGUAAAUAACAAAAUUUAUGAUUGGUUUUUGCAGACGAGACUUUUAGGAGUUCCCAUUUUUGACAAAAUCCUGCAGGCCAAAAAGAUAGGGACCAGAUCAGGCGUACCGUUUCACACAAGUCGCGGAUGGUUGUGGAGGUUUAAGCUGCGUUAUAACAUCCGCGCAGUGACGGCGUGGGGAAAAGGUUGGUUUUCAAGAGACCCUCGGGUCAAGGAGACCCGAAGAGAGACCCGAAUACCUGAUAAAAGAAAAUCCAAUAAAGAUACAGGAUGCAUUAA